This 77-nucleotide transfer RNA is filed under the name Candidatus Saccharimonadota bacterium. RNAcentral's name for it is "tRNA-Val". It matches the Rfam family "tRNA". From Rfam's summary of the family: Transfer RNA (tRNA) molecules are approximately 80 nucleotides in length. Their secondary structure includes four short double-helical elements and three loops (D, anti-codon, and T loops). Lineage: Bacteria; Candidatus Saccharimonadota. The record is from RNAcentral. RNAcentral also lists the same sequence under 3 other names.
GGGCGGCUAGCUCAGUUGGUUAGAGCGCUACAUUGACAUUGUAGAGGUCACAAGUUCGAAUCUUGUGUCGCCCACCA